AGUGAACGCUGGCGGCAGGCCUAACACAUGCAAGUCGAACGGCAGCACAGUGGAGCUUGCUCCAUGGGUGGCGAGUGGCGGACGGGUGAGGAAUACAUCGGAAUCUGCCCAGUCGUGGGGGAUAACAUAGGGAAACUUAUGCUAAUACCGCAUACGACCUACGGGUGAAAGCGGGGGAUCGCAAGACCUCGCGCGAUUGGAUGAGCCGAUGUCCGAUUAGCUAGUUGCGGGGUAAUGGCCCACCAAGGCGACGAUCGGUAGCUGGUCUGAGAGGAUGAUCAGCCACACUGGAACUGAGACACGGUCCAGACUCCUACGGGAGGCAGCAGUGGGGAAUAUUGGACAAUGGGCGCAAGCCUGAUCCAGCCAUGCCGCGUGGGUGAA
Molecule: ribosomal RNA, 384 nt
Filed under: uncultured bacterium
Lineage: Bacteria
Description: bacterial SSU rRNA
Rfam family: Bacterial small subunit ribosomal RNA
Source: RNAcentral